GAUGAAGAACGCAGCGAAAUGUGAUAAGUAAUGCGAAUUGCAGAAUUCAGUGAAUCAUCGAAUCUUUGAACGCACAUUGCGCCCGCCAGUAUUCUGGCGGGCAUGCCUGUCUGAGCGUCGUUUCGACCCUCGCGCCCGGCUUCUGUCGGGGGCGGUGUUGGGGAUCGGCCACACCCUUCAGUGGGAGGCCGGCCCCUAAAUUCAGUGGCGACCACGCUGUAGCCUCCCCUGCGUAGUACUAAAACCACCUCGCAGGCGGAGAGCGGUGCGGCCCGCCGUAAAACCCCCCAACUUUUACAAGGUCGACCUCAGAUCAGGUAGGAAUACCCGCUGAACUUAAGCAUAUCAAUAAGCGGAGGA
This 360-nucleotide unclassified non-coding RNA is filed under the name soil metagenome. RNAcentral's name for it is "partial contains 5.8S ribosomal RNA, internal transcribed spacer 2, and large subunit ribosomal RNA". The stretch from base 1 to 120 matches the Rfam family "5.8S ribosomal RNA", at positions 35 to 154 of the family's 154-position model. The record is from RNAcentral.